Molecule: long non-coding RNA, 2114 nt
Organism: Acinonyx jubatus (cheetah)
Lineage: Eukaryota; Metazoa; Chordata; Mammalia; Carnivora; Felidae
Exons: 3
Source: RefSeq, a predicted model, not a curated record
UUUCUCUGCAUCCUCACCAGCAUCUAUUUUUGCCUGAGUUGUUAAUUUUAGCCAUUCUGAGGUGUAAGGUGGUAUCUCGUGGUUUUGAUUUGUAUUUUUCUGAUGAUGAGUGACGUUGAGCAUCUUUUCAUGUGUCUGUUAGCCAUCUGGAUGUCUUCUUUGGAAAAGUGUCUAUUCAUGUCUUUUGCCUAUUUCUUCACAGGAUUAUUUGUUUUUUGGGUGUUGAUUUUGAUAAGUUAUUUAUAGGUUUUGGAUACUAACCCUUUAUCCAGUGUGUAAUUUGCAAAUAACUUCUCCCUUUCUGUCAGUUACCUUUUAGUUUUGUUGAUUGUUUCCUUCACUGUGUGGAAGCUUUUUAUCUUAAUGAGGUCCCAAUAGUUCAUUUUUGUUUUUAUUUCCCUUGCCUCCAGGGACACGUCUAGUAGGAAGUUGCAGCAGCUGAGGUCAAAGAAGUUGCUGCCUGUUUUCUCCUCUAGGAUUUUGAAGGUUUCCUGUCUCACAUUUAGGUCUUUAUCCAUUUUGAAUUUAUUUUUGUGUAUGGUGUAAAAAAGUGGUCCAGUUUCAUUCUUCUGCAUGUCGCUGUCCAGUUUUCCCAGCACCAUUUGCUGAAGAGGCUGUCUUUUUUUCCAUUGGAUAUUCUUUGCUGCUUUGUCAAAGAUUAGUUGGCUAUACAUUUGUGUGUCCAUUCCUGGUUUCUUUUUUCUGUUUUAUUGAUCUAUGUUUCUGUUUUUGUGCCAGGACCAUACUGUCUUGAUUAAAGCUUUGCAAUACAGCUUAAAGUCCUGAAUUGUGAUGGCUCCAGCUUUGGUUUUCUUUUUCAACAUUACUUUGGCUAUUUGGGUUUUUUUCUGGUUCCACACAAAUUUUAGGGUUGUUUGUUCUAGUUCUGUGAAGAAUUCUGGUGUUAUUUCGAUAGGGAUUGCAUUGAAUGUGUAAAUGGUUAUAAUUAAGCUUGUAAUACUAAACUAUGCAGAAAUGAAUGACCACCUAAAUACUUUUGUUUCUAUAUGAAUUUUUUUUUCAUAUUCCUAGAGAUGGAUAUGCAAGUUUUCAGUGAAUGCAAAUCAGGUGAGCCCACCCUGGAAGAGGAACUGUUAGUUUUCACUGCCAUCCCUGUCCUGUUAGCAUUGCCCACCUUAUCAAGCUGGAGAGGAAAAUGGAAAUAGCCCCAGAUGAGAAAGAAAUGAAGGGGCUUACGGAAGGACUCUCGCGCAGCUGAGCAAGUAUCCAGAGUGGCGGUGGGAUUACUUUAAGGUGGCUAUGAACCCAGAUGUUCACCAAGCAUUGUCCAUAAACCUAAACCAUAUAUAUAUCUCUAACACUGAUGCUGCUUCUUUCCCUGAAAAUAUAUGUAGAUGCUGCUGUAUCAUUGAUAAGAGGCCUGUGUACUAAAAGUGGUUAGGAGUUAUUGCACUGUCCUAAAGAGAUGCCUUUUUAAAACCAGAUUAGGUCUGUGCUGCAUAGCCCCAAUCCAGUUAGUGCAAACCAUGCUUUUCUCAGGUUAGAAUAAUGAGGAAGUGAUUAGGAUCAAAGAUGGUUUGAAUCUAUUACAUCACUUGCCAGUGAGCCUAGAUUCCACAUCCAAAAAAUAGGGAUAUGUUGACUGUGUACACAACAUUAUCACCCACUUCUUUUUUCUUGGCAGAAUGUGUCUGUUCCUUUCCCUCAAGACGCUGUCCCUACUGAAGAGCUAACUCAUGUUUAGCAUGAGCUAAGUACAUUGGCCCCAAUUCCUAUUGCCAGUGAUUGGUUUAGGAUGGGCAUAUGACUCAGUUCUGGACAAUAUGAUAAGAGAAGGGCUGGAGGGCUUUUGGAAAAUAUUCCUCCCUAAAUGGUAUCUCCUACAUUGGAAAGAACUGAUGUACAAUGACAAAUAUGUAAUGUCUAGAUCAGUGAUGAGAGCCACUUUCUAGAUGUCCUACCUAAUAAAAGCAAUUUAUCUUCUUCAAGUCAUCUCCUGAAUAAAUAUUGUAUGAAGUGUAUUUUCAAAGCCCUUUUCCUUGGAGCAAAUCAAAUUAUUUCCAUGUUUUUGCCCACUCCAAAACAAAAAUGAAUAACAGAAGAAAUGCUGAACAUGCCCCAAAUCAGAAUAUGUAAGGUUAACCUAAGAGGCU